UACAGAGGGUGCAAGCGUUAAUCGGAAUUACUGGGCGUAAAGGGCGCGUAGGCGGUUAUAUAAGUUGUGUGUGAAAGCUCUGGGCUUAACCUGGGAACUGCACAUAAUACUGUAUGGCUAGAGUAGAGUAGAGGAAAGUGGAAUUUCCGGUGUAGCGGUGAAAUGCGUAGAUAUCGGAAGGAACACCAGUGGCGAAGGCGGCUUUCUGGACUCAUACUGACGCUGAGGCGCGAAAGCGUGGGGAG
Molecule: ribosomal RNA, 245 nt
Filed under: uncultured bacterium
Lineage: Bacteria
Description: partial 16S ribosomal RNA
Rfam family: Bacterial small subunit ribosomal RNA
Source: RNAcentral